RNAcentral lists this transfer RNA (68 nucleotides) under Marmota monax (woodchuck). Its description in RNAcentral is "tRNA.Ala". The record is from RNAcentral. Lineage: Eukaryota; Metazoa; Chordata; Mammalia; Rodentia; Sciuridae.
GUUGUGGCUCAGUGGUGGAGCGCUCGCCUAGCACCUGCGAGGCCCUGGGUUCGAUCCUCAGCACUACA